UGGGGAAUUUUGGACAAUGGGCGAAAGCCUGAUCCAGCAAUGCCGCGUGUGUGAAGAAGGCCUUCGGGUUGUAAAGCACUUUUGUCCGGAAAGAAAUGGCUCUGGUUAAUACCUGGGGUCGAUGACGGUACCGGAAGAAUAAGGACCGGCUAACUACGUGCCAGCAGCCGCGGUAAUACGUAGGGUCCAAGCGUUAAUCGGAAUUACUGGGCGUAAAGCGUGCGCAGGCGGUUGUGCAAGACCGAUGUGAAAUCCCCGAGNUUACUUGGAAUUGCAUUGGUGACUGCACGGCUAGAGUGUGUCAGAGGGGGGUAGAAUUCCACGUGUAGCAGUGAAAUGCGUAGAGAUGUGGAGGAAUACCGAU
This 364-nucleotide ribosomal RNA is filed under the name uncultured bacterium. RNAcentral describes it as "partial 16S ribosomal RNA". It matches the Rfam family "Bacterial small subunit ribosomal RNA", at positions 355 to 713 of the family's 1533-position model. The record is from RNAcentral.